CACCCGACGCUGGUGCCGGUUGGUUGCUCCUUCAUCAUCGAGGGACGUUCGGGGAAGAACCAGAGGUGGGACGCCAGUGGCAGGGAUGUAGGUGAGGCGGAGGAUCUCGGAUCCGGCGACGAAGCCAUGGAUGUUCAACCAGACCAUCAUGUUCGCAUUGACCUUGUGGGCUGCUGCUUCUCCAACAUCAUCUGCAAGAAGUGGUACAUCGACAUGAACAAUAGGGCUGGAGAGUUCAAGGAGCUGGACUGGUUCUUCAACAGAAAGAAGGGCGGGAUGUUCCUGACCAGGAGCAAGGAAGGACUACAACUUUAUUUGGUUUCCAAAUUUUUCAUAAGAAUCUGCAACCGUAUGAGGAGCAAGCAAAUUUGGCAUAGUGCCUGCUCUCAUGAAGAUGAAUGUGUCCUGUUUGUCAAUGCCGGUGGGUAUAUCUGAAAAAACUGCAAAGGAAGCAGAAGACAAUGUGCUCCCGAGAGAGAUGUGAGGAGACAAGAGAGGAGAUUGCUGGAUCUGGAAAUGGAGGUCAGCACCACCUACAGGACAAGAGCGCCGCUCCUCUCCGACUCUCCAAGAAGACAAGAUUAGUCUGUCAUCGACAGUGUUUUUGCAACUAGCAGUAAAAGCUGGUGUGUUUUAUGACAGAGUGACAAAUAUGACUAUUUGGGGAAACCAUUCAACAACUUAGGUUCCUAAUUUCUUGAAUGCCAAAAUUAAUGAGAGGCCAGUAAAAGAAGUCAUCAAAGAUACAAAGUGGCUAGAGGAGGAUUUUCCUAUAACUGUUUAAAAGAUACACAGAGAAGGUGGUGGUGCCGCCGAGGCUGUUGCUCCUGGUGUUAGAGAGGGUGUCACUGAACGAUGCCGCCGGCUUGCCCGAGGUGGCCUGCACGUCUUCAUGACCAGCCAUCUCCCCAAGUGAGUCCCUUCCCUUUGAGAAAAUCUCUCUGGCUAAUUUGUUUGUUAGGAUUGCAGAACGUGAAUCUUCCUUAGUCAUCACCAAAUUGACAUUCUCUGACUAACUGAAAAAUAACAAAGUAUUGAAUGGUGCUACUUGUCGUGGAAUUGGCACAACAGAUGUCCUAGUGAAAGGACUUAAUCGCGGAGCCAUCGCAACUAGGAAGCUUGAAGGGGUUAAUUGGGACAAGAGACACGGGAGGUUUAUACUAGUUU
Long non-coding RNA from Triticum dicoccoides, 1167 nucleotides. RefSeq lists it as uncharacterized. The transcript is spliced from 7 exons. The record is from RefSeq and is a predicted model, not a curated record. Lineage: Eukaryota; Viridiplantae; Streptophyta; Magnoliopsida; Poales; Poaceae.